This 453-nucleotide ribosomal RNA is filed under the name uncultured bacterium. RNAcentral describes it as "partial 16S ribosomal RNA". It matches the Rfam family "Bacterial small subunit ribosomal RNA", at positions 341 to 792 of the family's 1533-position model. The record is from RNAcentral.
ACGGGAGGCAGCAGUGAGGAAUAUUGGUCAAUGGUCGGAAGACUGAACCAGCCAAGUCGCGUGAAGGAUGACGGCCCUAUGGGUUGUAAACUUCUUUUGCCGGGGGAUAAACCUGGCCACGUGUGGCCAGCUGAAGGUACCCGGUGAAUAAGCAUCGGCUAACUCCGUGCCAGCAGCCGCGGUAAUACGGAGGAUGCGAGCGUUAUCCGGAUUUAUUGGGUUUAAAGGGAGCGUAGGCGGGCCUUUAAGUCAGUGGUCAAAGCGUGUGGCUCAACCAUACCACGCCGUUGAUACUGGAGGCCUUGAGUGCACAUAAGGAUGGUGGAAUUCAUGGUGUAGCGGUGAAAUGCUUAGAUAUCAUGAAGAACUCCGAUUGCGAAGGCAGCUGUCCGGGGUGUAACUGACGCUAAUGCUCGAAAGUGCGGGUAUCAAACAGGAUUAGAUACCCUGGUA